GAAAUCAUACCAAAAACAGCCCCAAACCAGAUAUCGGCGGAGUCGCCGUGUCUUCCCCUUGUCGGGCUUUCUUGGGUUAGGGCUAUCCAUUUGUUUCUGUUUGGGCACCUCUGGAAGUUUUGAUUCAGUUAUUUGACAAUCUAGGUUGCCUUUUUGUUUGUUGAUCUCACUGGGUUGCAUGUAUCACUUACAGUUUAAAGUUUUCGAGAUUCGUGAGAGUUCUGGGCUUUUUUGCCUGUAGAACCUGAAAUCCAUGGUCGUCUGCAUUCCAUGGAUACAUCUUCCGUUCAGUCCACUCCUUCAGUCGAAGAAAAUGAAUGGGGAAAAAGGCCGAUGUGGUAAAGAGGCUUACGAAUAAAGAUGGGUGUGCGUCCACGUAGCACCACUGGAAGCUUCAUAGUUUGAAGAUUAAAAUACAAGUGGGCGAUGGAGAAGGGAUACCGCUGCUACAGUAAGAUCAGGAAAACCCUCUGUAGAUACCGCGGAAGAGACAUUCGACGAGAAAGAGAACACCAUCACCAUCAGUGGCCCCUUUUGCCCCAAGAAGCUCACUAGAAAGCUCUGCUGCAAAGCUGGAAAUGCCAUUAAAUGCAUUGAGAUUGUCGAGGAAACGCCUCCGGAGAAACCUAAAUCUCUCGAUCCACCAAAGCCAGAGCCAGAGCCCGUGCCCAAGGCCAAGUCCAAGCCCAAGGCUGAUGUACCGGAAAAGCCUGCUGAACCACUUCCACCGUCGCCUCCUCCCCCCGUGGUUGUUGUUGAGGUUCCUCCGCCUCAAUCCAAUUCGGCCCCACCUAGACGGUCACUUAAAUCAGCUCCCCCAGCACCUUAUGAGGAGUAUGGAGAGGGACCAUGUGGUCAAACUUCA
Macadamia integrifolia is the source of this 865-nucleotide long non-coding RNA. RefSeq lists it as uncharacterized. The transcript has 3 exons. Lineage: Eukaryota; Viridiplantae; Streptophyta; Magnoliopsida; Proteales; Proteaceae. The record is from RefSeq and is a predicted model, not a curated record.